Solanum tuberosum (potato) is the source of this 123-nucleotide long non-coding RNA. RefSeq lists it as uncharacterized. The record is from RefSeq and is a predicted model, not a curated record. The transcript has 3 exons. Lineage: Eukaryota; Viridiplantae; Streptophyta; Magnoliopsida; Solanales; Solanaceae.
CUGAUGAAGACCAGAAAAUCCUAGAUUCGAUGCCUGAAUGCAGUAGAACACUCGAAGCAGCAAUAAAGUAUAGAUUACAUCAAAAAUUACUGAUAGAGAAGGUUAUACAGGCCUUGGACAUUU